Long non-coding RNA from Lotus japonicus, 1816 nucleotides. RefSeq lists it as uncharacterized. NCBI's taxonomy places the organism in Eukaryota, Viridiplantae, Streptophyta, Magnoliopsida, Fabales, Fabaceae. The transcript has 6 exons. The record is from RefSeq and is a predicted model, not a curated record.
GUGCCAAAUCUAGCUCUCAAUCUGGCUCACACAUGCUUUGAUGGCGUCUCCUUCAAUGGCUCCGACGACACAACGGGAAGAAGAUGAGUGUCUCCGACGAGUUCGUCGUUUGAGAUUCCUAUCACCCCGGCAGCACUCUUCACCACCGCCCGCUUUCCAACUCCGACGACCCCCUUCGCAACCCUAGGGAUUUUUCCCCUUCAUGCUUCGAAUCGAGUGAGAUUUUUCACCUGAGAGGAAAAAUCCCGAUCGAUUGUGCCCGCUCCCACCGUCGUCGACCACAGAUUGAGGUUCAUCACCGAUUUCGGCUUGGUCCGUCGUUGCCGGCGGAGGAAGACACGAAUACUCCUUUCGUUGUCGAUAUGGCUUCACUCUCGAUCUCUGAAUCUCGCUCUUGAAUCGCAAAUCCUUCUCUCCUCUGUUCUUGUCACCAAUCGCAUGGCAAAUUACAUUUCCUCUCUUCUCUGAUUGUGUCUUUGUUUCUGCACAACUCUGACAUAUUGCUAUGAAUUUCACUGAUGUGGUGGUGCAGGGACAAAGAGAAAGGAUAAAGGGUGAUUAGCCAAGCUUAUAACAGUGGCGGUGUAAUCAUGGAGGAACUGGAGGCAAGGGAUGGUAUUUCCUUAAUGAUGGAAGACAUUGGAACUUCUCGUGUUUGGAACAUGCACUAUAGCAUCAGAUACUGGCCAAACAACAAUAGUAGAAUGUAUUUGCUUAAGAACUCUGGCGUGUUUUUCUCUUAUAAUUUGGCUUACUCACUAGCCUUUUGUGCAACCUUUUUUUGCCUUACUUUCAUUUGUAAUGAAUUGGAUGGGACACUGAGGAGUAACCAUAAACUGUUGGAUCAUGGUGGUUGAUGUACAAAUAAAAAGAAAGGUUGUACUUACAGUUGGUCAUGCCUGGGUGGUUGUUGUGCCAGUCCUGAACUAGGUCUAUAGGAAGCUGCUAUAUCUGGUUGAUUAUGAGGAGGACUAGAACAAGUAUGAUAAGAGUUUGAACAAAGUAGGAGCAGAACUCGUAAAGGUACCAUCCUCAAACCUCAAAUCUAGAUGGAUUUUCUCAUAUUCCUUCAUAGUCAUCACUAUAACUAGAGUACCCUAGUCCCUUCAAUGAUACACUGAUUAGCUAUGAGGAGUUGAAGGAGCAUGUGGAGGAAAACGAAGUCACAACUUUGACGAGGAUGAAGAAGAAUAUGACGACGACAAUGAAGAUGAGGAGCGUGACGUAGAGGUAAGAUUUUGCACAUCAUGCAGAACUAUGCUUCGGGGAAUUUAGUGACAGGGUUAAGCACUGGAUCACAAUUUGUAGGGCCAUGGUGCCCACUUCGGCCAAGUUCUAUCAUCAGGCUAGUGAAGCCAUUUAUGGCACAUUGAGAUGUGGUUAUGUGUCUGAGUGAGAAAGAAAUUGAGUUUGAAGCACUGCAUGUUGACCUCUCCAAAAGGGAGCAUAAGGGACCUGAGUUCCUCAAGAUUUCAGUGAUAAGAGCAACAGUAAGGAAAAGAAAAUUGAGUAUUCUUGAGGUGUGGCUGACUAGUUAGUUUGAAAUUUUUUGAAAGCAUAAGGGGUCUAAUGAACCCAAGUGUCGUGUUAUUAGUAAGAUGAUUCAUUCAGCUGAAUGUUGGAAGCACCAUAGCCAAGCACUUAUAUGGAAAAUUUGCAAUGGAAGCACCCCAUUAUCCUAAAAAACGUGUUAAGGAUUAUGCUGUCAAAUGGGGGCAUAUAUUGGAUCGAUAUGCAUGUGCAAGCAGUAAAGUUAAUACUGAUUGGACAUUGUACACUUCAAUUCCAAAGAAAUAAAAUAUAUAAAUAAUACCGA